This 303-nucleotide ribosomal RNA is filed under the name uncultured bacterium. RNAcentral describes it as "partial 16S ribosomal RNA". It matches the Rfam family "Bacterial small subunit ribosomal RNA", at positions 507 to 808 of the family's 1533-position model. The record is from RNAcentral.
AGCAGUCGCCGCGGUAAUACGUAGGUGGCGAGCGUUGUCCGGAAUUAUUGGGCGUAAAGGGAGCGCAGGCGGACAUAUAAGUCCAUCUUAAAAGUGCGGGGCUCAACCCCGUGAGGGGAUGGAAACUGUAUGCCUUGAGUGCAGGAGAGGAGGGUGGAAUUCCACGUGUAGCGGUGAAAUGCGUAGAGAUGUGGAGGAACACCAGUGGCGAAGGCGACUCUCUGGUCUGUAACUGACGUUGAGGAGCGAAAGCGUGGGGAGCGAACAGGAUUAGAGACCCCUGUAGUCCCUGUCUCUUAUACA